Molecule: transfer RNA, 101 nt
Filed under: Burkholderia humptydooensis
Lineage: Bacteria; Pseudomonadati; Pseudomonadota; Betaproteobacteria; Burkholderiales; Burkholderiaceae
Description: tRNA-Arg (TCT) (tRNA-Arg-TCT-2-1)
Source: RNAcentral
UGCUCAGUUGGAUACAAGCCGCGCCCAGCAAGGCGCGGCGACCCAAGAGCAACGGCCUUCUAAGCCGUAGGUCACACGUUCGAAUCGUGUAGGGCGGGCCA